GGUAGAAGUGAGGGCUUUUAAGGAAACACUCCUUCCCAUACCGAACAGGAAAGUUAAGCUCUAUAGCGCCAAUGGUACUGCAUGGGAGACUGUGUGGGAGAGUAGGACGUUGCCAGGU
RNAcentral lists this ribosomal RNA (118 nucleotides) under Clostridium sp. Lineage: Bacteria; Bacillati; Bacillota; Clostridia; Eubacteriales; Clostridiaceae. The record is from RNAcentral.